Molecule: transfer RNA, 67 nt
Filed under: Bathymodiolus aduloides
Lineage: Eukaryota; Metazoa; Mollusca; Bivalvia; Mytilida; Modiolidae
Description: tRNA-Gln
Source: RNAcentral
UAUAAAGUAGUAUUUAAGUACGAUGGGUUUUGAUUCCAUAGGGGUGAAUUAAUCAGCACCUUUAUAU